Molecule: transfer RNA, 57 nt
Filed under: Marmota marmota marmota (Alpine marmot)
Lineage: Eukaryota; Metazoa; Chordata; Mammalia; Rodentia; Sciuridae
Also listed under: 4 other names
Rfam family: tRNA
About the family: Transfer RNA (tRNA) molecules are approximately 80 nucleotides in length. Their secondary structure includes four short double-helical elements and three loops (D, anti-codon, and T loops).
Source: Rfam by way of RNAcentral
UAGCUCAGUUGGUAGAGUGCUUGCCUCACAUGCACAAGGCCUGGGUUCAAUCCCCAG